RNAcentral lists this ribosomal RNA (404 nucleotides) under Brucella melitensis. Its description in RNAcentral is "partial 16S ribosomal RNA". It matches the Rfam family "Bacterial small subunit ribosomal RNA", at positions 355 to 776 of the family's 1533-position model. The record is from RNAcentral. RNAcentral also lists the same sequence under 2 other names. Lineage: Bacteria; Pseudomonadati; Pseudomonadota; Alphaproteobacteria; Hyphomicrobiales; Brucellaceae.
UGGGGAAUAUUGGACAAUGGGCGCAAGCCUGAUCCAGCCAUGCCGCGUGAGUGAUGAAGGCCCUAGGGUUGUAAAGCUCUUUCACCGGUGAAGAUAAUGACGGUAACCGGAGAAGAAGCCCCGGCUAACUUCGUGCCAGCAGCCGCGGUAAUACGAAGGGGGCUAGCGUUGUUCGGAUUUACUGGGCGUAAAGCGCACGUAGGCGGACUUUUAAGUCAGGGGUGAAAUCCCGGGGCUCAACCCCGGAACUGCCUUUGAUACUGGAAGUCUUGAGUAUGGUAGAGGUGAGUGGAAUUCCGAGUGUAGAGGUGAAAUUCGUAGAUAUUCGGAGGAACACCAGUGGCGAAGGCGGCUCACUGGACCAUUACAGACGCUGAGGUGCGAAAGCGUGGGGAGCAAACAGG